GAUGAACGCUGGCGGCGUGCCUAAUACAUGCAAGUCGAGCGAACAGAUGAGGAACUUGCUCCUCUGACGUUAGCGGCGGACGGGUGAGUAACACGUGGAUAACCUACCUAUAAGACUGGGAUAACUUCGGGAAACCGGAGCUAAUACCGGAUAAUAUAUUGAACCGCAUGGUUCAAUAGUGAAAGACGGUUUUGCUGUCACUUAUAGAUGGAUCCGCGCCGCAUUAGCUAGUUGGUAAGGUAACGGCUUACCAAGGCAACGAUGCGUAGCCGACCUGAGAGGGAGAUCGGCCACACUGGAAGUGAGACACGGUCCAGACUCCGACGGGAGGCAGCAGUAGGGAAUCUUCCGCAAUGGGCGAAAGCCUGACGGAGCAACGCCGCGUGAGUGAUGAAGGUCUUCGGAUCGUAAAACGCUGUUAUUAGGGAAGAACAAAUGAGUAAGUAACUAGGCACGUCAUGACGGUACCUAAUCAGAAAGCCACGGCUAACUACGUG
This 497-nucleotide ribosomal RNA is filed under the name uncultured bacterium. RNAcentral describes it as "partial 16S ribosomal RNA". It matches the Rfam family "Bacterial small subunit ribosomal RNA", at positions 28 to 507 of the family's 1533-position model. The record is from RNAcentral.